GGUCCUGUAGCUCAGCAGGUAGAGCACAGCACUGAAAAUGCUGGUGUCGGCAGUUCAACUCUGCCUGGGACCA
Molecule: transfer RNA, 73 nt
Filed under: Erysipelotrichaceae bacterium
Lineage: Bacteria; Bacillati; Bacillota; Erysipelotrichia; Erysipelotrichales; Erysipelotrichaceae
Also listed under: 1 other name
Description: tRNA-Phe
Rfam family: tRNA
About the family: Transfer RNA (tRNA) molecules are approximately 80 nucleotides in length.
Source: RNAcentral